GGCCAAAUAGUUUAAUGGUAGAAUACAUGCUUUGGGAGCAUGGGACCGGAGUUCGAUUCUCCGUUUGGCCC
This 71-nucleotide transfer RNA is filed under the name Anaeramoeba flamelloides. RNAcentral describes it as "tRNA-Pro". It matches the Rfam family "tRNA". From Rfam's summary of the family: Transfer RNA (tRNA) molecules are approximately 80 nucleotides in length. Their secondary structure includes four short double-helical elements and three loops (D, anti-codon, and T loops). Lineage: Eukaryota; Anaeramoebidae. The record is from RNAcentral.